UACGUAGGGUGCAAGCGUUGUCCGGAAUUAUUGGGCGUAAAGAGCUCGUAGGCGGUCUGUCGCGUCUGGUGUGAAAACUCAAGGCUUAACCUUGGGCCUGCAUCGGGUACGGGCAGACUAGAGUGCGGUAGGGGAGACUGGAAUUCCUGGUGUAGCGGUGAAAUGCGCAGAUAUCAGGAGGAACACCGGUGGCGAAGGCGGGUCUCUGGGCCGUAACUGACGCUGAGGAGCGAAAGCGUGGGGAGCGAACCGG
RNAcentral lists this ribosomal RNA (253 nucleotides) under uncultured bacterium. RNAcentral's name for it is "partial 16S ribosomal RNA". It matches the Rfam family "Bacterial small subunit ribosomal RNA", at positions 524 to 776 of the family's 1533-position model. The record is from RNAcentral.